Molecule: long non-coding RNA, 290 nt
Organism: Uloborus diversus
Lineage: Eukaryota; Metazoa; Arthropoda; Arachnida; Araneae; Uloboridae
Exons: 3
Source: RefSeq, a predicted model, not a curated record
CCGUAAACGAUGGACAAGUUUACGGGACCAGUACCAAAGGAAAAGAAGAGAAAAGUUCGCUUACAAGCCGAGCGGCACUGGUGGAGGUUGCAGGAUAAAAAAGUGGAAGUUUUAUGAGCUGCUGGAGUCGUUUUUGGAGCCGAGCAUUCCGGCAGCGAAUCCUGCCGGAAAUUUAGAAGACAGCUUUAGUGAGCCUCAAGUUUCUGAACCAAGCUGUUCUGGUGCAGUUUCCCAUGAAGAAGCAUUUAUUGACAUUGAGGCGGAAAGCAUAGCGAAAGGUAGUGUUACUG